CCCUAUGGGGUGCACCAGGUGGAAAGCCUUUAUUUGAUUAUUGAAGUUAUGCUAUUCUGCACCGCGAGCCUGAAUUGGUUUUUAUGUUAACAUAUAUAUGUUUUAUAUAAUUAUAUAUACGUUAUAGAAUAGUUUAGGUACUGGGCAGCUGGGCAGAUCGUAUAGUUUUCUUACACUAUAAAAAAGGGGUGAACCUGUAAAACAGGGCGGUAACAGGCAGCGGUGCGGCGGAAAUGCGUUGAUUUUGCGGCGAUGCAACAAAAAUUCAAGGAAAAUGCACGACACUAAUUAUAUAGCCAUAUAUCAAAAAGGGUUAUCUCGUACAGGCGCGGGCAGCCCUGGGAGUUUUCGGACACUAUAAAAAAGGAAUUGGCGGGGGAGC
Molecule: ribosomal RNA, 382 nt
Filed under: uncultured prokaryote
Description: partial 16S ribosomal RNA
Source: RNAcentral